Molecule: ribosomal RNA, 249 nt
Filed under: uncultured bacterium
Lineage: Bacteria
Description: partial 16S ribosomal RNA
Rfam family: Bacterial small subunit ribosomal RNA
Source: RNAcentral
AUACGUAGGUGGCGAGCGGUUGUCCGGAUUUACUGGGCGUAAAGGGAGCGUAGGCGGAUUUUUAAGUGAGAUGUGAAAUACUCGGGCUUAACCUGGGUGGCUGCAUUUCAAACUGGAAGUCUAGAGUGCAGGAGAGGAGAAGGGAAUUCCUAGUGUAGCGGUGAAAUGCGUAGAGAUUAGGAAGAACACCAGUGGCGAAGGCGCUUCUCUGGACUGUAACUGACACUGAGGCACGAAAGCGUGGGGAGC